GACGAACGCUGGCGGCGUGCCUAAUACAUGCAAGUAGAACGCACAGUUUAUACCGUAGCUUGCUCCACCAUAGACUGUGAGUUGCGAACGGGUGAGUAACGCGUAGGUAACCUGCCUGGUAGCGGGGGAUAACUAUUGGAAACGAUAGCUAAUACCGCAUAAUAUUAAUUAUUGCAUGAUAAUUAAUUGAAAGGUGCAAUUGCACCACUACCAGAUGGACCUGCGUUGUAUUAGCUAGUAGGUGAGGUAACGGCUCACCUAGGCGACGAUACAUAGCCGACCUGAGAGGGUGAUCGGCCACACUGGGACUGAGACACGGCCCAGACUCCUACGGGAGGCAGCAGUAGGGAAUCUUCGGCAAUGGACGAAAGUCUGACCGAGCAACGCCGCGUGAGUGAAGAAGGGUGUCGGAUCGUAAAGCUCUGUUGUAAGAGAAGAACGGGUGUGAGAGUGGAAAGUUCACACUGUGACGGUAUCUUACCAGAAAGGGACGGCUAACUACGUG
RNAcentral lists this ribosomal RNA (505 nucleotides) under uncultured bacterium. RNAcentral describes it as "partial 16S ribosomal RNA". It matches the Rfam family "Bacterial small subunit ribosomal RNA", at positions 28 to 507 of the family's 1533-position model. The record is from RNAcentral.